UACGAAGGGGGCAAGCGUUGUUCGGAAUUACUGGGCGUAAAGAGCGCGUAGGCGGCUUAUCAAGUCAGGCGUGAAAUUCCCGGGCUCAACCUGGGGGCUGCGCGUGAUACUGAUGAGCUUGAAUGCGGGAGAGGAUAGUGGAAUUCCCAGUGUAGAGGUGAAAUUCGUAGAUAUUGGGAAGAACACCGGUGGCGAAGGCGGCUAUCUGGCCCGUAAUUGCCGCUGAGGCGCGAAAGCGUGGGGAGCAAACAGG
Molecule: ribosomal RNA, 253 nt
Filed under: uncultured bacterium
Lineage: Bacteria
Description: partial 16S ribosomal RNA
Rfam family: Bacterial small subunit ribosomal RNA
Source: RNAcentral